Molecule: ribosomal RNA, 500 nt
Filed under: uncultured Glomeromycotina
Lineage: Eukaryota; Fungi; Glomeromycota
Description: partial small subunit ribosomal RNA
Rfam family: Eukaryotic small subunit ribosomal RNA
Source: RNAcentral
CCAAUAGCGUAUAUUAAAGUUGUUGCAGUUAAAAAGCUCGUAGUUGAAUUUCGGGGUCAGUAGAUUGGCCAUGCCACUGGUAUGUACUGGUCUCACUGAUUCCUCCUUCCUGAUGAGCCGUAAUGCCAUUAAUUUGGUGUUGCGAGGAAUCUGGACUGUUACUUUGAAAAAAUUAGAGUGUUUAAAGCAGGCUAACGCUUGAAUACAUUAGCAUGGAAUAAUGAAAUAGGACGUUCGAUCUUAUUUUGUUGGUUUCUAAGAUUGACGUAAUGAUUAAUAGGGGUAGUUGGGGGCAUUAGUAUUCAAUUGUCAGAGGUGAAAUUCUUGGAUUUAUUGAAGACUAACUACUGCGAAAGCAUUUGCCAAGGAUGUUUUCAUUAAUCAAGAACGAAAGUUAGGGGAUCGAAGACGAUCAGAUACCGUCGUAGUCUUAACCAUAAACUAUGACGACUAGGGAUCGGAUGAUGUUAAUUUUUUAAUGACUCAUUCGGCACCUUACG